RNAcentral lists this ribosomal RNA (843 nucleotides) under uncultured bacterium. RNAcentral's name for it is "bacterial SSU rRNA". It matches the Rfam family "Bacterial small subunit ribosomal RNA", at positions 17 to 902 of the family's 1533-position model. The record is from RNAcentral.
UCCUGGCUCAGGAUGAACGCUGGCGGUAUGCCUAACACAUGCAAGUCGAACGGUCACUUCGGUGAUAGUGGCGGACGGGUGAGUAACGCGUGAGAAUCUGCCUCUUGGUUGGGGACAACAGUUGGAAACGACUGCUAAUACCCAAUGUGCCGCAAGGUGAAAGAUUUAUUGCCAAGAGAGGAGCUCGCGUCUGAUUAGCUAGUUGGCGGGGUAAAGGCCCACCAAGGCAUCGAUCAGUAGCUGGUCUGAGAGGAUGAGCAGCCACACUGGGACUGAGACACGGCCCAGACUCCUACGGGAGGCAGCAGUGGGGAAUUUUCCGCAAUGGGCGAAAGCCUGACGGAGCAAUACCGCGUGAGGGAGGAAGGCUCUUGGGUUGUAAACCUCUUUUCUUAGGGAAGAACACAAUGACGGUACCUAAGGAAUAAGCAUCGGCUAACUCCGUGCCAGCAGCCGCGGUAAUACGGAGGAUGCAAGCGUUAUCCGGAAUUAUUGGGCGUAAAGCGUCCGUAGGUGGUUUUUCAAGUCUGCUGUCAAAGACCGUGGCUUAACCACGGAAAGGCAGUGGAAACUGAGAGACUAGAGUUCGGUAGGGGUAGCGGGAAUUCCCAGUGUAGCGGUGAAAUGCGUAGAUAUUGGGAAGAACAUCGGUGGCGAAGGCGCGCUACUGGACCGAAACUGACACUCAGAGGACGAAAGCUAGGGGAGCGAAAGGGAUUAGAUACCCCUGUAGUCCUAGCUGUAAACGAUGGAAACUAGGUGUGGCUUGUAUCGACCCGAGCCGUGCCGAAGCUAACGCGUUAAGUUUCCCGCCUGGGGAGUACGCACGCAAGUGUGAAACUC